Molecule: long non-coding RNA, 498 nt
Filed under: Gossypium barbadense (sea-island cotton)
Lineage: Eukaryota; Viridiplantae; Streptophyta; Magnoliopsida; Malvales; Malvaceae
Description: long non-coding RNA (GBAR_LNC018465)
Source: RNAcentral
AUAGAUCUAUGAAAGAAGAACAAUUGAUGCGAUCAAAAUAUGUUCCUUUAAACUAAAUUGAAUAGUGCUCUCACUUAGUGUAUAAAAUAUGAGAAAGUUCAUUCUUUAUAAAGACUUUCUUCACAGUUUCGAAGUAUGCCUCGCAUUUUCGGACCGUUCCAGGCACUUAUCGUUACCUGUAUUGUGACAAGAGGACGUCAAAAUCACAACAACUCCAACAGGCGGCGACGUCGGGACAAGGAGGUUUUCGAUGUCACGAAGAUGGACAACAUCAUGACAAGGCGAUUCGGGAUGUUGCUACGUGGCGACGUGUUUCCCACAUAAAUCGAGUUUCUUUUCUCAGUUAAACUCUAUUAUCUUUUCUCAAUUAAAGUCUAAUUAUUCUAGGGAUAUUUUAGUCAUAUAUUCACACGAAUUUCAGCCUAUAAAAAGACUUUUGUGACCCUAGAAUUGAUAUCUUCAUCACAUUAAGAUUAAAAGAAGAUUAAGAGAGUUUUG